Molecule: long non-coding RNA, 1321 nt
Organism: Aedes aegypti (yellow fever mosquito)
Lineage: Eukaryota; Metazoa; Arthropoda; Insecta; Diptera; Culicidae
Exons: 4
Source: RefSeq, a predicted model, not a curated record
AAUUAUCGAAAUUAUGCCGACAAAAUGUAAAUUGUUUUCUUGUAGUGCAUACAAGCCAUCAAUAAACGCAGAUUACUACACAUCACAUCAUCUCCAUUCUCUCGCAUACUACAAGCAAAUCGAUCAAAACUGCUUCGAUCUCCAAUACUCGCACAGUCGCAAUACACGGAGCCAGAUAAUAUUGAGCCGACUCGUGGACCUGAAACAAUAGCAUGCUCCAGAGUGCUCUGUAUAGUCGAUGCAAAUGGUUGCCUGCCUAGUGCGAGUUAAGUGCAUGUUAAAUCCAAAAGUGCAUAAAACAAAGCAUGUCCUUACUGAUGGUGCAAAUUAGGAUCACGAAUAACUGAAGGUGAAUGCACCAUGUGCUGACCACGUGCCAGUGGUCAGUGAUCAAUACCAUCUCGCACAAACAGGAACCACAUAGGCCAGAUUACGAGUUCUAGACAUCAUUCGGCCCAAACGAAACGGAACGCCGCACAAAAUAGUGUCUGCUGGCCAACCCCGUGAAGCUUGAACAAGCUGAGCCAUUUCCCAACAUAAGGGCGACAAGGCCUUCAACAGAAGGCCUUUUAUUUGCAGCCCACCAAUAUAUUGGCUCUACCACGGCAGCUGCCAUCCAUUCCCUGCCGCCCAGGCCGGCCUCAUCACAGGAACGCCCACCAACUGCAUAUCGUCGGCCGCUGGAGCAGCGAACGACGAGUGCACGUGCACACGGCCCUUUCAAGAGCCGAGUACAGGCUGUAGCGUUGCAUGGGAACCCGGAGGCUGAGAGUGGUGCAUUACGCUGGAAACUCUCUCACACGACACAGGACCAUGCGACACCGUUCGGUGUGACUCCAGGAGCCGUGCGACAUUUUAUGGCUUUGCGUGAGAGCGAGAGAGUGUUGCGGGUAGCAGUGUCGCGAGGCUAGUUGCGUAGUUGGUGCAGGGAGGGAUCAACGACCGCCACAACAUCGCCGAUGCAGCGAAUGCAGCAAGGGGCCCCUACCGGUUAGUGAUAGGCUUAAGACGAAUGCCAGAAAAGUAUGUAGAAUAGAUAUAAGUUAAUCAUGAGCGGUCAGUUUCAUUAAGUAACAACUUCAUCCCUUGUCAUUUAUAGUUUGAAUUGAGUCGAUCAUUGCUUUUUCCAUUGCCUUGGCCAAUCGGCUGCUGGCACGUCUCAAACAAUUUGAGUGGCUAGCCGGAAUAGCAAAACUUUGAGCAUACAGGUGUGUUACCACCCGAUUGACCAUUUUUUCCCUCAGUGGUCAUUUAGUUUAGAGAUUUAGCAUUUUUGCGUUGCGCUCCAUUAGACAGAAUCCUACACCUAAUAGGAAAACUG